CGAACGCUGGCGGCAGGCCUAACACAUGCAAGUCGCACGAUAAGCUAUCUUCGGAUAGUGGACAGUGGCGCACGGGUGAGUAACGCGUGGGAACCUGCCCUGAAGUGGGGAACAACCGCUGGAAACGGCGGCUAAUACCGCAUAAUCCCUGAGGGGGAAAGACUUCGGUCGCUUUAGGAUGGUCCCGCGUCUGAUUAGCUAGUUGGUGAGGUAACGGCUCACCAAGGCGACGAUCAGUAGCUGGUCUGAGAGGAUGGUCAGCCACACUGGGACUGAGACACGGCCCAGACUCCUACGGGAGGCAGCAGUGGGGAAUAUUGGACAAUGGGCGCAAGCCUGAUCCAGCCAUGCCGCGUGAGUGAAGAAGGCCCUAGGGUUGUAAAGCUCUUUCAGAUGUGAAGAUGAUGACUGUAGCAUCAGAAGAAGCCCCGGCUAACUCCGUGCCAGCAGCCGCGGUAAU
RNAcentral lists this ribosomal RNA (460 nucleotides) under uncultured bacterium. RNAcentral describes it as "bacterial SSU rRNA". It matches the Rfam family "Bacterial small subunit ribosomal RNA", at positions 30 to 524 of the family's 1533-position model. The record is from RNAcentral.